This 121-nucleotide transfer RNA is filed under the name Polyangiaceae bacterium. Its description in RNAcentral is "tRNA-OTHER". It matches the Rfam family "tRNA". From Rfam's summary of the family: Transfer RNA (tRNA) molecules are approximately 80 nucleotides in length. The record is from RNAcentral. Lineage: Bacteria; Pseudomonadati; Myxococcota; Polyangiales; Polyangiaceae.
AGGACUGUAGUUUAAUGGUAGAACGACACCCGUCUCUGAAUGUUUGCCCGAGCCGGGCCGGAUGGAGAUGGUUACCGGCCUCGAAACCUGGAAGGUGCGGGUUCGACCCCCGCCGGUCCUG